UACGUAGGGUGCAAGCGUUGUCCGGAAUUAUUGGGCGUAAAGAGCUCGUAGGCGGUCUGUCGCGUCUGCUGUGAAAACUCGGGGCUUAACCCCGGGCCUGCAGUGGGUACGGGCAGACUAGAGUGCGGUAGGGGAGACUGGAAUUCCUGGUGUAGCGGUGAAAUGCGCAGAUAUCAGGAGGAACACCGGUGGCGAAGGCGGGUCUCUGGGCCGUAACUGACGCUGGAGGCGACGAAAGCUAGGGGAGCAAACAGG
RNAcentral lists this ribosomal RNA (255 nucleotides) under uncultured bacterium. RNAcentral describes it as "partial 16S ribosomal RNA". It matches the Rfam family "Bacterial small subunit ribosomal RNA", at positions 524 to 776 of the family's 1533-position model. The record is from RNAcentral.